GUGCCAGCAGCCGCGGUAAUACGGAGGGUGCGAGCGUUAAUCGGAAUUACCGGGCGUAAAGGGCGCGUAGGCGGUCGCGCAAGUCGGGUGUGAAAGCCCCGGGCUCAACCUGGGAAUUGCAUUCGAUACUGCGUAACUAGAGUCUGGUAGAGGGAAGCGGAAUUCCGCAUGUAGCGGUGAAAUGCGUAGAUAUGCGGAGGAACACCAGUGGCGAAGGCGGCUUCCUGGACCAAGACUGACGCUGAGGCGCGAAAGCGUGGGGAGCAAACAGGAUUAGAUACCCUGGUAGUCCACGCCCUAAACGAUGAGGACUAGACGUUGGGGGGAUAAAACCCUUUAGUGUCGCAGCUAACGCGUGAAGUCCUCCGCCUGGGGAGUACGGCCGCAAGGUUGAAACUUAAAGGAAUUGGCGG
RNAcentral lists this ribosomal RNA (413 nucleotides) under uncultured bacterium. RNAcentral describes it as "bacterial SSU rRNA". It matches the Rfam family "Bacterial small subunit ribosomal RNA", at positions 505 to 916 of the family's 1533-position model. The record is from RNAcentral.